AGUGAACGCUGGCGGUAGGCCUAACACAUGCAAGUCGAACGGCAGCACAGUAAGAGCUUGCUCUUACGGGUGGCGAGUGGCGGACGGGUGAGGAAUACAUCGGAAUCUACUUUUUCGUGGGGGAUAACGUAGGGAAACUUACGCUAAUACCGCAUACGACCUACGGGUGAAAGCAGGGGAUCUUCGGACCUUGCGCGAUUGAAUGAGCCGAUGUCGGAUUAGCUAGUUGGCGGGGUAAAGGCCCACCAAGGCGACGAUCCGUAGCUGGUCUGAGAGGAUGGUCAGCCACACUGGAGCUGGGACACGCUCCAGACUCCUGCGGGACGCACCAGUGGGGAAUAUUGGACAAUGGGCGCAAGCCUGAUCCAGCCAUACCGCGUGGGUGAAGAAGGCCUUCGGGUUGUAAAGCCCUUUUGUUGGGAAAGAAAAGCAGCAGGUUAAUACCCCGCUGUUCUGACGGUACCCAAAGAAUAAGCACCGGCUAACUUCGUG
RNAcentral lists this ribosomal RNA (492 nucleotides) under uncultured bacterium. Its description in RNAcentral is "partial 16S ribosomal RNA". It matches the Rfam family "Bacterial small subunit ribosomal RNA", at positions 29 to 507 of the family's 1533-position model. The record is from RNAcentral.